This 491-nucleotide ribosomal RNA is filed under the name uncultured bacterium. Its description in RNAcentral is "bacterial SSU rRNA". It matches the Rfam family "Bacterial small subunit ribosomal RNA", at positions 21 to 507 of the family's 1533-position model. The record is from RNAcentral.
GGCUCAGAUUGAACGCUGGCGGCAUGCCUUACACAUGCAAGUCGAACGGUAACGCGGGGCAACCUGGCGACGAGUGGCGAACGGGUGAGUAAUACAUCGGAACGUGCCCAGGUAGUGGGGGAUAGCCCGGCGAAAGCCGGAUUAAUACCGCAUACGACCUACGGGUGAAAGCAGGGGACCGCAAGGCCUUGCGCUAUUGGAGCGGCCGAUGUCAGAUUAGGUUGUUGGUGGGGUAAAAGCCCACCAAGCCGACGAUCUGUAGCUGGUCUGAGAGGACGACCAGCCACACUGGGACUGAGACACGGCCCAGACUCCUACGGGAGGCAGCAGUGGGGAAUAUUGGACAAUGGGCGGAAGCCUGAUCCAGCCAUGCCGCGUGUGUGAAGAAGGCCUUAUGGUUGUAAAGCACUUUAAGCGAGGAGGAGGCUACUGAGACUAAUACUCUUGGAUAGUGGACGUUACUCGCAGAAUAAGCACCGGCUAACUCUGUG